ACAGUUACUGAAGAUGGACAGUAGGGGGCGGAAGCGCCCACGCUUCUUUGAUAUGGGGAGCUUUGGUUUUUCAGUGACGGGGGACCCUUUGACUUCAGUUACUUUUAAUGACUUUUGGUAGUGAAGAGACAAAGUUCAUUACAAAACGUGCCAGGCUUCAGCAAUUUUCCAAAGGGAUUAAGUAAUUGCAGUGGCCACAGGCUAUGUAAAAUUUUUAAAAAGGUGGUGUCUCUCACUUUCUUCAGCAUAAUUUGGGUCACAGAAACCCACGCAUAAAAAUUCAUUAGGAACUCAUAUUCUAUCAUGCCCUGACACUGACUCAAUCACCACAGUCGCAAUCAAAAGACGGCUUUAGCUGGAACCUGGAACCUGCUAGUCCUGUCAGGCAGCCUGUGAUUCUGGAAGUGAAGGAACAAAA
RNAcentral lists this long non-coding RNA (418 nucleotides) under Pongo abelii (Sumatran orangutan). Its description in RNAcentral is "lincRNA". The record is from RNAcentral. Lineage: Eukaryota; Metazoa; Chordata; Mammalia; Primates; Hominidae.